UACGUAGGGGGCAAGCGUUAUCCGGACUUACUGGGUGUAAAGGGAGCGUAGACGGAAUUGCAAGUCUGAUGUGAAAAUCCGGGGCCCAACCCCGGAACUGCAUUGGAAACUGUAUUUCUAGAGUGUCGGAGAGGCAAGUGGAAUUCCUGGUGUAGCGGUGAAAUGCGUAGAUAUCAGGAGGAACACCAGUGGCGAAGGCGGCUUGCUGGACGAUGACUGACGUUGAGGCUCGAAAGCGUGGGGAGCAAACAGG
Molecule: ribosomal RNA, 253 nt
Filed under: uncultured bacterium
Lineage: Bacteria
Description: partial 16S ribosomal RNA
Rfam family: Bacterial small subunit ribosomal RNA
Source: RNAcentral